This 326-nucleotide ribosomal RNA is filed under the name Russula brevipes. Its description in RNAcentral is "LSU rRNA". It matches the Rfam family "Bacterial large subunit ribosomal RNA", at positions 1752 to 2085 of the family's 2925-position model. The record is from RNAcentral. Lineage: Eukaryota; Fungi; Basidiomycota; Agaricomycetes; Russulales; Russulaceae.
CAUAAAAUUUUAAUUAAUAAUAUGGUAUAAUAAAAUCGGAGGCCACGACUGUUUACUAAAAACACAAUUCAGAGCAAUAAUUAAGAUAAUAGUAUUCUGGAUGAAAUUUGCUCAAUGCCAUUAAUAUAAAAGAGGUAAUUUUAAAGUUACUAAUUGAAAGUCUGGUUAAUAGCGGUCUUAACUAUGAGGAUCCUAAGGUAGCAAAAUAAAUUGGCCAUUAAAUGUGGUCUUGUAUCAAUAAUGUAACGAUGGUCUCACUGUCUCUACAACUUGCUCAGUGAAAUUGAAUUGCGAGUGCAGAUGCUCGCUGUCUUCAGGGGACAGGA